Molecule: unclassified non-coding RNA, 381 nt
Filed under: fungal sp.
Lineage: Eukaryota; Fungi
Description: partial internal transcribed spacer region
Rfam family: Eukaryotic small subunit ribosomal RNA (bases 1-46)
Source: RNAcentral
AAGUCGUAACAAGGUAACCGUAGGUGAACCUGCGGUUGGAUCAUUACCGAGGUGGGGCUCUGCGAUUCAUUUUGCUGUCCCGUGCUCCCCCUGCGCAGCGGCCAAGCAGGCGCGUCCUGUUUCACACGCUGCUGCGCGGGGUUUGGAGUGACCUAUUUGUGCACUGUUUUUGUCUCUGGCGGCGGGAUGUGGAGUCGGGGCUUGGACCCCGGACCGCAUCUGUCAGCGUUGCAACUUUGGCGUCGUGUCAAAGUUGCGAGGCCGUGGACAAACCGCCAACGUGUUUAACGUGUGCUUUCUAUCACUUUUGUCUAAUAUCUAUGGCGCGACAGCGUCGAUUGAAUGUGCAAACAACUUUUGGCAAUGGAUCUCUUGGCUCUC